UCCACCCAGAAAAACUGUUUCUGUUUUUUAGAGUAAAACUUGACUGAAUUUAUAAUAGGAGAUGUUCUGCAUCAGUUGUCCAGUUAAAGAUGAACGAAAGGACUGCGUUGUUUGCCAAGACCUGAGUUUAAGGAGCCUGUGUCUCCUAUGCAAUUGUUGAUGGUCAUUUUAGCAACCAAGUGGAGUGGGAAGCUGUGUGAUUCCAGAGCCUUUGGUGUGGAAUGCUGGUACAUCUGUGCAUCUCCUAAAGAGACUGAAAAGAAAAAAAAUCCUGUCACAUUGUGAAACAAUAUGCAUGCAACUUAGUGAUCUGCAGUACAUCCAAGAAGUUCAGAAUAGUCCAGGAAUCUCCUCACUGACCUAGUUGAGUUUAGUUCAGUAGGGAAAACAUAUGUAUUUCUGCUUAUCAUGUAAGCUUUGUUGAACAAAUGGCAUUAUAAGUUUAAUGCUAAAAAUUAAUAUGGAAUCAGAGCUCUUCCUACAAGGAGAAGAUCUCUGAGUUCUUCAUUAAAGCUAUGAUCCUGAUCAUGUUCUAACAGGCACGAAAGUAAUUUUUUCCUGUCUGUGCUUACCUGGAACUGGUUGUCAAAUCAGAAUUGGAACCUUAUUAUGGAGUAUAUGAUGCAACAUAUCACAAUAGCUAUGGAUUAGCAUCAAAUCUGAGUUGAACGCACCUAGAAGAACAAUGUGUCUUGACCUGCCAUCAGAAAGGAUGUCCAGCCCUUUCAUAACUCAGACACAUUUAAAUGAGAGCAAUAUCUCAGUGCAGUGUCAGAAGUUCUUGAUGUACUUGUACUUUUCCUUAUUUUUUUCUUGUUUCUAGUUCUGUGCUUGUUUCUAGUCGUUUUGCAUGAAGCAGUCGUCUAAUCUGUGGGAAUAGCGGAGAUGAAAUAUAUUCAUCUGAUGCUGACUUUGAGGUUUAUGUGGGAACCAGGAUUACACCAGUCCUCCAAAAUCGUAUUUCUGAAGACACAAGCCUGAAGAAAUAUGAUUGAGUCUUUCAUUUUUGGCUCUAACUCAAUUAAAAUGGAAAAGUCUGCAAA
Long non-coding RNA from Pseudopipra pipra, 1043 nucleotides. RefSeq lists it as uncharacterized. The transcript has 4 exons. The record is from RefSeq and is a predicted model, not a curated record. NCBI's taxonomy places the organism in Eukaryota, Metazoa, Chordata, Aves, Passeriformes, Pipridae.